RNAcentral lists this long non-coding RNA (883 nucleotides) under Homo sapiens (human). Its description in RNAcentral is "HSALNT0146891". Lineage: Eukaryota; Metazoa; Chordata; Mammalia; Primates; Hominidae. The record is from RNAcentral.
AUUAGCAAUUUUGUGAUAAGUGCAAUGGGUCCAAAAGGACCCAUCAAAGAUGAUUUCACCCACAGUGUACCAGGCGCAAUAAUGGCUCCAGGCAACUGGGGCCUGGACUUUCCCCUUCCUCCUUCCAAUAGCCCCCUUCUUAGCAGAUGAGUGGGAAUCCCCCAUCUCCCAGUGGCUGAGCAUAGACUCCACUGCUCCGAUCCAGAGAGGGAAGUUGGGAAUUGGAAAUAUGGCCUGAGGUUCCUGGAGAGUGCAAAGAGGGUGAAGGAGAGAUCUCUACUUCUCAUGCUCUCUACCCCAUUUGUCUUUCAUUUUCCCAUUGCUGGCAAGGAAAGGAGGGAGUAGUUCUUCAGCUUCCCUUCCUCUACAACUUGGUUUCUCUUCUCUCUUUUUUUUUUCUUGAGUUUCUUUCCGUAGUCUUGAGCCCAGAAACUGCAGGACAAAAGUAGUGGUGUUAGGAGUAGGGAUGGAAGGUGGACCUAACAGAUAACUUCUUUCUACUCCUCUUUCUCAUAUCCACUCUGUUUUUUGUUUCCCACUAGGCUAUCCACAAUCUCACCACUGGAUACUAGAUUAUGAUGACAGCUGGGGAUCCUGGGCUGUUAGUUCAAUAAUGGGUGGCAUUCAUCAGGAAGACUCUUACCAGCAAUGGGCCUAUAAGUUUGUGAGGAAUUGUGACAGAGAUGGGUACAGAAGGCAGGAAAAGAAGCUCAGUUCUCAAGUGAUUUCCAGCAGGAGUGAUGCAAAAGCUGAAAGGCUUCAUACUACAGGAAGAGGAUAUGGUUAAAGGCACCAGGAUGUCUACAAAACAGAUUUAUUUCCAUCUCAGCAGGAGGCAGCCAUGUUUCUCUAAGUGUUGAUUAAACUGUUCCUCCAUGGUGGC